Long non-coding RNA from Triticum dicoccoides, 1320 nucleotides. RefSeq lists it as uncharacterized. The transcript has 4 exons. Lineage: Eukaryota; Viridiplantae; Streptophyta; Magnoliopsida; Poales; Poaceae. The record is from RefSeq and is a predicted model, not a curated record.
CGUAAUACACCCGCAACAACUAGUCCACGUUCCCUCAUCACCCACGUCGCACGCUACCAUUCCCGCUUUCCACCGCCUCCCCACUCUCACGGAAACCGCCGUUCCUCUCUCCCCGUUCUCAAUAUCUGGCGACGAAUCCAGCGAUUCCGCACUAUUCGUUCUGCGUUUUCUCUCUUCCACCCGUCGAUUCCACUUGUUGGGGAGCAUUUCCGCGCGAGGGGCGGAGCAGUUGUUGCGGCGGCGACGUCCAAGGUUGCGGCGGCGUCAGCGGUCGGGAUCUCCAGGCGAGCGGUUGUGAAGCAGGAGGGCGUAGGCAGGAGAGGGGAUGCUGUGAUUUGUGGAGGAAGAGCAAAUCGACUGCAAAACGCCGCGAAAAAUGGCUGGGAGCAGUAAGGGCAUCCAGCAAGACCCCCCUACAACCAAUCUUGAUGAUGAUUUUUUUAACUUGCCUAACCAUUGCCUUCUAGUUGCCUCAAAAUGAUGCAAACUUGCUGACUCUUUUCAUUAUAUACUUAGAUGAAUGACUGUUUCUAUAUCAGAUACGCGUUACAGACGCUUUUCAUCAUAUACUCUGAUGAUAGACUUGCCUAAGAUCUGAUGAUAGACUUGCCCAAGAUAUGGGAAGCACUCCCUCCGUCCGCGAAUAAGUGUGCAGCACAACAACCAUACUAGUUGCUCAUGGAUCUGGGAAAAACGAGGGAGAACACUGGGAGGUAGAAGGUGCAAUUAGAUUUGGACAAACAAGCCAUUGCAGGGUCCUUUCGAUUUUGGAGGAGGAGGAGGAGGAGAAGAAGAAGAAGAAGAAGAAGAAGGGCAUGGAGGUGGGGUAGGUGAGGAGAGGGAAAGGUUGGGCCUAGGGGUACGUCAGGGGAGCCACACCUCCCAUUUGAGGACGGGCGUUGAUCAAGUGUGUGAUGGGGGAGCUGAAGGAAAGCGUGGGCGCGGGAGGAAAGCGUGGGCCUUCCUACUUUCCAAAUCUGGAUCAGGGGGACAAAAGCCUACCUAAAUAAGGGAGGCUGCCAGGGGGCGCCCGGCGCAGAUUCUCUAACUUGCUUAUAGCAAGUCAGAGGCAGCCUUGAGGCAGCUGGAUGCCGUUUCUUUUCCAUCGUGUGUCCCCUGCUCUGUUUCAUGUUUCCUUCCCUCACACAACACAGUUCAGCCAGGCCAGCCCACAUAAGCGACAAGGGAGGCCCAUUCGGGAGCAAACAGCCUAGCUGCAGCGACAAGUGCAUCUAUGGACACUUAAUUGAAUGUAAACAGCAGAAUAGAACAGAACAUAUUCAGACUGGAUAGAAACCUGUAAAAAUACUCCGUUUUCAA